GGAUGUGGCUCAGUUUGGUAGAGCGCCUGGUUUGGGACCAGGAUGCCGCAGGUUCAAGUCCUGUCAUCC
This 69-nucleotide transfer RNA is filed under the name human gut metagenome. It matches the Rfam family "tRNA". From Rfam's summary of the family: Transfer RNA (tRNA) molecules are approximately 80 nucleotides in length. The record is from RNAcentral. RNAcentral also lists the same sequence under 1 other name.